ACUGCUCAGUAACACGUGGCUAACCCGCCCUCGGGACGAGAACACCCCCGGGAAACUGGGGCUAAUUCUCGAUAGGCGAAGAACUCUGGAAUGAGUCUUCACCCAAAAGACGCUUAGAUCAUGCUUCUAGACGUCGCCCAAGGAUGGGGCCGCGACCGAUCAGGUUGUUGGUGAGGUAACGGCUCACCAAGCCUUUAACCGGUGCGGGCCGUGGGAGCGGGAGCCCGGAGAUGGGCACUGAGACAAGGGCCCAGGCCCUACGGGGCGCAGCAGUCGCGAAAACUUUGCAAUAAGCGAAAGCUUGACAGGGCUAUCCCGAGUGCCAUCCGCUGAGGAAGGCUUUUACCCAGUCUAGUAAGCUGGGGGAAUAAGGAGAGGACAAGUCUGGUGUCAGCCGCCGCGGUAAUACCAGCUCUCCGAGUGGUGUGGAUGUUUAUUGGGCCUAAAGCAUCCGUAGCUGGCUGAGUUAGUCCCCUGUUAAAUCCACCGAAUCAAUCGUUGGAUUGCGGGGGAUACUGCUCGGCUAGGGGACGGGAGAGGCAGACGGUAUUUCCGGGGUAGGGGUGAAAUCCUAUAAUCCCGGGAAGACCACCAGUGGCGAAGGCUGUCUGCUAGAACGCGCCCGACGGUGAGGGAUGAAAGCUGGGGAAGCGAACCGGAUUAGAUACCCGGGUAGUCCCAGCUGUAAACGAUGCAGGCUAGGUGUUUGGGCGGCCACGUGCCGCUCUAGUGCCGCAGGGAAGCUGUUAAGCCUGCCGCCUGGGGAGUACGAUCGCAAGAUUGAAACUUAAAGGAAUUGGCGGGGGAGCAC
Molecule: ribosomal RNA, 811 nt
Filed under: uncultured archaeon
Lineage: Archaea
Description: bacterial SSU rRNA
Rfam family: Archaeal small subunit ribosomal RNA
Source: RNAcentral